This 21-nucleotide microRNA is filed under the name Gossypium raimondii (Peruvian cotton). Its description in RNAcentral is "gra-miR7484o". The record is from miRBase by way of RNAcentral. Lineage: Eukaryota; Viridiplantae; Streptophyta; Magnoliopsida; Malvales; Malvaceae.
GAUUUAACGUAUAGGGACUAA